Molecule: long non-coding RNA, 3873 nt
Organism: Esox lucius (northern pike)
Lineage: Eukaryota; Metazoa; Chordata; Actinopteri; Esociformes; Esocidae
Source: Ensembl
CAACGCGUCAUAGGACCUGUCAUGUUCCUGAUUCACAUGAUUCUCUGUGGGGGAGAUGCAUAAAGUAUGUACAGGAUACAUAGCUGCAUUUUAUCAACUACAUAAAGUAGAUGCACUGUCAACUGAAUACAUUGCCAUCCUUUAAUUUGCACUUAAUGAUGUUAAUUAUUUUGUCCUUUUUUCACAAAACCUGAUUUACCCAGCCCUUAUCUAUGGUUAAAACAUGCACAUAUGUAUUUUCUUAGAUGGAGAACUAUAGUUGGACUGAUACCUAUCAGUCUCCAGCUGAAGGGAAUGCAUUGACCAAUGAGGAGAGCAGAGUGUAUGCAGAAUCGGACACUGAUGACCUUUCUGGGAAAGGUGAUUUCCAGGGCCCAGAGGCUGAAUCCCUGAACCACAAAGGAGGAGGAGAGCAACAACAACAGCACGUGCAGGCCCAGCAGAUCAACGGCCUGGCUCCACUAUCAGUCAGGCCACCUGACACGCAGCCUGUAGUGCCUCUUGUGGCAGAAGACCAGGACUGCAGUUACCACUACACUGACACCAGCCAGACUCAGCUUCAGCAGCAUUCCUCCCCUCAGCAGCCAACACUGAGCUGUCCUACAUCAAACAGGGAAGGGGCGGAGCAUUCUUCUGGGCUGGGCAUGACUGGGAUACAUUUUAAUUCUGGGAUGAUGGCAGGGGAUGUUCAGCAAUCUGGUCAGACGUAUGAUUAUGUAGGCAAGCUUGCAUGGCACCAGGGAGGGCACCGGUCCACCAUCACGCAGGAGGGCAAGGCCUUAGAGCCGGACCAAAUCCAACCAAAACAGAGCACCAAGUCAGGGUGGUUUAGUAGCUGGUUCAAACCCAAACCCAAAGAGGAACAAAGUGUUGCGUCUCUGGAUGACGACUCAGCAGAACCAGUUCCCACUAUGGAGGCUCCUCCCACCCUAUGUUCUUUCCCUCCCCCACCUACUAUCAACACCCUUGCAGCUAAUUGUCCCACACAGCCUACAUCUGCUGGGAUCAACCCCUUUUCUCGAAAAGCAGGUCCUCAGCUGGGAUAAACAAAAGGAUUGUCACUUAUGGGCAAUAUAUUUGAGGAUUUGUUAUGCCAUAAACAUGGAAUAACCCUGAAGCAAAAGAGAAGCACAACCACAUCAACAGAAGGAUAACAUGCUGGCCCUUUAAAUCAGCCUAAACUGGGACUGUGUCAGUGUAUUAACACUGAUCAGGCUCACAAUAUCCGCCUGACCACAACCCAGAUAUCUAUUUUUGGAAGUUCUUUAAUGGGGCUAGUACUUUGACAUCAUGUGUUGCGUUGCUUCACAUUGGCUCGUAGGCUGCAUGUGCAGGCAGAGGGAGUUAGUCCAGGCUUUUAAGGGCUUGGCUCAGUGUUUUCUGAGGGAACUAAACAGCUGAGUUCUGGUUCCUCUGAGAUGAUGGGCGGAAAAUUGCCGGGUUGGAAUGCUGUAAGUUAGCAGAAGCUGUGAAUGUGGUCAGCUUAAUCUCACAAAAAAGUUUGGAGCAAGUCUAAUUUCUCUUUAGUGAGACUUUCUAGCUAUACAACCGUGAUUCAUUUUCAAACAGACCUAUCUUUGUCUAGUAUUUUGAUUUGAGAUGUACAUUUUAAAGUUAAUUUUAAAUACCAAGGUCCAAGACAAUUUAUGUCUUUCAGGAGCUCUUACUCUUAUGAGAUGUUCUGGCUCACAAAAACCAGAGCUUGUGCAAAGCUACUGGGGCUGCCAGUGAAGUUGAUGGGGGCCAGGACAUGUUGGUUGGACACUGAGACACUAUUCUCAUCUAAUAGGAGAGAAAGCUGAUAUGACAAUUUUUAAAACUCAUAGACAAAUCAUUACAAAUUCUGUACUAGCAUUUGUGACAAAACCAUUAAAAAAGAUUUAAAAACUGUUAAUUCACAUACCGUUUGCAAUUUUAAGCUAUACAAGCAAAUCAUUCUUAUGCUGGAGUAUGCCCACACCAUUCCAAGUGAAAAAAGCUGGUGAGGUUUUACAUUUAAAAUGUUUGGUAAGUAUUAAUGUAUUAUAUAUUAAUGCAUUAACACAGAACUGAACCACAAUAUCAGAAGUGUCCCAACCCCCAUCUAUUCUUGGAUGUCCUUUCAAUGGACCAGUAUUUUGAUAUGUUGGGUUGGUGCCCAUUAUUAGGCUAACCAGGCAGGCAGCAGGAGUGGGGCCAGUCGUUUAGGGGCUUGGCUCAGUGUCCUGAGGGAACAGCUGAUGUCUGGUUCCUCGAAGAUAGAAAGAAAAUUUCCUGGGUUGGACACUGCAAUGUUGCAAAAGUAGCAAGGUUGUUCUACUAAAUAAUUCAUGUAAUCACAAAAAAAGAUUCAAGAACAAUCCAGUCCCAAGUUCUUUUGGAGCUAGUCUCAUGUCCCAUUGGUAAAAUGUUAUAACCACAAACGACGACUCCUGUUCUAACCCAAUUUCAGUUUUCAGGUGGAAAUUGAAGAUUGGUAGAGGCCUACUACUCUGUAUUUGUCAAACAUUGUUUGAAUUCACAGCAGAUUUUAAGAGCAAAUAAAAAUAGCAUUCUGGUCUUGGCACAUUCUUGUCUUGGCACAUUCUGGUCUUGGCACAUCCAGUCGACCACCCCUCCCAGAUAAUGUGGGUAGGUUAGCCUAAAUUAUUAGAUUAAUGUGGAUACAUUUUUAAAUUGUUGAAUAGUAAUUCAGUGUUGUUCAACAUUAAAGCAGUAGUUAUUUCACCAAACCUAGACACACAGUAGUUUUAGUAAAGAACAUGAAGUUUAUUAUCAUGAAUGAAAACCACCCUGUGAAGUUAAAAAAUCUAUUUAAUCUGUAGCCCGAUAAACUGCAUACUUUCCCUAAUUGUAGUGGAGACACAACAUUACAUUAUUUCAAAUUUACCAGUGAUUUUAUCUUUACUGAGAGAUUUGAGCAACAGAAAUUAGGUGUAACCGCACUGUAAAACCCAUGAAUCACAGUAUUAAUCCCCCUAUAAAACUCAAAAGAUUUGUUCAGUGUAGUUAAUGGCUAGCUUGCAAAGUACAAUGUAAAGAAUAAUAGCUACUAUCUGAUGGCACUAACACUAACAUUGUAAAAAACAAGUUGAAAAUAGAGACUUUACAGGACUUUCUUUCAGCAGGUUUUGCAAGGGUGGAUUUAUUGCCUCUUACUUGAUGUCAGACAUGAUGUUUGUAUACUGUAGUCUCUGAUUGUUUCGUAAUUGUCUGAUAAAUCUGUCCUCCUCGUCUCCUUCCCUGAAUCUGCAGUGAUUAGAAGUAUAUGCUAAUGUAUUCUUUUGACAAAUUUGUGCAUUUGUUUGAAAAGUAAAUUUUGAUGUACAUUUUCAGAGAAAUAUACAGAUUUCCUCCCUGAGAAAAUAAUUCUCUAAUACAUAUUAUCAUUCUUGCAAUUUAACAACAGGCUCCUUAGCUUGAAUUCCACUACCAAGACUCCAUGUCACAUUCCAAAGAUGGAGAUUGGUGUAUUACUUAAGGAGACUGGUGCAUAAGAGACAGAGCCUACUACUGAGGCCAAACAGCCAGGAAUACAUUGUUCCUCAAAGUGGUGACUAUAACUGUGAGAAAACUGAAUAGAAAAGCAAUUCACAAACUCUAAUAGUUGUAUUCUGUUUACAUAACUCCAGACUCUCCUGUGGAAUAGUCAGUGGAACAGUUUUAUUGGCUGAUGGUCUUGUGUGUUAUUGCCUGUCCCCAGGUUCCAUUAACAGGAAACGAGGAAGGGAUAUAUACAAUGCUUUUUCAUUUUCGAUUUUUCCAAAAUGCUGCCUUAGACUGUAUAUUGUUUUACAUUGUAAUUGUAAGAACAUUCAUUCAGGACAUUAUUUAUAAAGGUUUAUUUAAUCAGACGUUUUAUAGAUAGGUUUACAAUAGUUUUUAAAGAAACUA